GGCCUCAGCCCUGCAAGAAAUUCAGCAGACUCCCUAAGCGUAAGCUCGAUGCAGGGCCAAAGUCUGCCAGCAGGGGGCGCACCCAAGCUCACAGCAAAGACAAAGGCCAGAAGCAAACUGUUGUGGGGUGGUGAGCGGAUGGAGGCUGCUGGGAAAGGCAGGGAGCAGAAUCCGAGAGUCAAUCAGCAGGGCCAGGAAGAAGAUAUCUAACCUUUCACCUCCAAAACGAACAUUGAAAGUACAGAAACACAAGAUUGGCUGUUUUCUAAGAGGGAGAAUGAAAAGCUGGGAGUCCUCUUGGUGGCCAGACAGGAAACUUGUCUCCCAGGAAGAGACUUCACUCUGUUAGACUGCCUGGCAGGACGCACUGGAGCCCCAAUAACAACAGCGGUCAGUGAUGGGCAGGAUGGCACCUGAACCAAGCCUGCUUGCUGUGCACACUGUGUCCCUGUUUAAAUCUAAACCUCAUGUCAGGACUCUGAAGAUGGAGUUAGUAGGAUGUGUUUGUUCCUCUUGAAAUGGAACCACCUUGCACAAAUCUUCCGGUUGACCCGUUGCAGGUAGAUGGCUUAUCCUGGUUCAUUCAGGCUGCCAGGGCCCUUCCAGAUGCUGGUCCUCAACACAUCAGUAACAAUAGGACAGAGAGGUCACCAGGAAACUGGCUUCUCACUAUGGACUGGAGACCUGUAGCAAGGACUUCCAAACAAGCCAUCAGAUGGCCCCACAGAACAUGAGGCCUCAGUGUUUGACUUUUUUUUCCUGCCAUCUGGAAUGUCAAGGUCCUACAGUCACCUAGGAGACAAACAUCUGGGCAUCCGUGUAAUGAAGUUUCUAGAUCGGGUUAACUGAACUGGGACAAUCCAUCCUAAUUAUGGUGGUACCACUCUGCAAGCUGCCGCCCCGGACUGAAUGAAAAGGAGAAAGUGAGCCAAGCGUCCAUCUCUCUCUGCUUCCUGAAUUUGAAUGCAAAGUAACCAACCUGCUUCACACCUCUGCCUUCUCUGCAGUGAUGGGCUACACCCUCCAUCCUUGAGCCAAAAAUAAACCCUUCCUUGCUUAUGCUGGUGUUGCCAGGUGUCUUUGUCCAAGCAGGGAGAAAAGUAACUGAUACAUCCUGCCAUGAUGCCAUCUUAAAUCAGGGGCUCCGCUUACCUCCUGAACUGUACCAGCCUCCUUACUAUCCCCUUGAAGCCACAGCCUUGAUCUCCCUCUGUUCUUACAAUCACCACUCACAUGUUCAUUCAUGGUGUAUGCACUGGUUGAGCGCCUGCUGUGUGCAGCAUAGUCCUGAAUCCUGGGGCUGUAACACUGGUGGGAACUGAAAAUCUGGUCAUAUUCCACCUCCAGUCACUCUCAGAGGAAGUGGCAAGCCAAGGGCGACAGGUCAGCACCAGGAAGGCCUGGGAUCUGCCGUCCCUGUCCUUCCUCACUGGAGGCUGAGAGGGUACAGGUGCCACCUUCACAGACUUCAACUCCCAGAGUAUCAUGAGCGACUUAAUGCUCAGCUCAUUAUAAUC
This 1517-nucleotide long non-coding RNA is filed under the name Cricetulus griseus (Chinese hamster). RNAcentral describes it as "lncRNA (ENSCGRG00015029752.1)". The record is from RNAcentral. Lineage: Eukaryota; Metazoa; Chordata; Mammalia; Rodentia; Cricetidae.